RNAcentral lists this long non-coding RNA (203 nucleotides) under Elaeis guineensis (African oil palm). RNAcentral's name for it is "long non-coding RNA (EGUI_LNC008173)". Lineage: Eukaryota; Viridiplantae; Streptophyta; Magnoliopsida; Arecales; Arecaceae. The record is from RNAcentral.
CACCCAUUCCUCCACCUUCUUCCCUUCCUCCUCAAUCAUUUCUCUUUUUCCUCUUCCUCCUCCAAACUGUCUAUAAACCAACCUCCUCCACGGCGGCUUCCUUCAUCUCUACUCUUUCUUGUUGGCAACCCAUCUUUCCUCCUCUCCUUUCUCCCUUUUUUGCUAACAAUCCAUUUUUCUCCCUCCCCUUCCUCCCCAUCCUC